UAGUGAGGUGAUGUUGAACCG
Molecule: non-coding RNA, 21 nt
Filed under: Arabidopsis thaliana (thale cress)
Lineage: Eukaryota; Viridiplantae; Streptophyta; Magnoliopsida; Brassicales; Brassicaceae
Source: RNAcentral